This is a long non-coding RNA of Gossypium arboreum, 431 nucleotides long. RefSeq lists it as uncharacterized. The transcript has 2 exons. Lineage: Eukaryota; Viridiplantae; Streptophyta; Magnoliopsida; Malvales; Malvaceae. The record is from RefSeq and is a predicted model, not a curated record.
AACAUCGCAAUAAAUCAGAAAAUUACCGACAUUUUUUUUUUAAAGAACGCCGCAAAAGGCUAUUAUUUUUAAUAAAAGAAGACAAAAUCCCGCUCACUCCCAAAAAUUAUUUUUUGGUUACCCACUCGUUAAUCAAAUCCCCCAAAUUGUUUCUUUUUCCCCAAAUAAAAGAGAAGAGGGGGAGGGUGAAGAAGAAGAGAGUGAAGAUGAAGGGACUAAAAAGGUCAAAGGUAGUAGAAGAAAGAGCCAGUGGCACCUAGUAGUGAUAGGCCUACAAGGGAAAGGAAAAUCGUAGAAAGGGAAAGUGGCAAAGCUUAAAGGUAUGUGGGUGGUGUCCAAAAAGAACUAUACUGGGAGACGAAAAAAUCACGGAUCUUAACGACUGGCUUUUGCACACCCAUAAGCCUUUCAAUGCUUUAUCAACCGAAGAU